Molecule: transfer RNA, 73 nt
Filed under: Anneissia intermedia
Lineage: Eukaryota; Metazoa; Echinodermata; Crinoidea; Comatulida; Comatulidae
Description: tRNA-Phe
Rfam family: tRNA
About the family: Transfer RNA (tRNA) molecules are approximately 80 nucleotides in length. Their secondary structure includes four short double-helical elements and three loops (D, anti-codon, and T loops).
Source: RNAcentral
GCAAAAGUAGCUUAACGACAAAGCAAAGCACUGAAAAUACUUUAAUAGUGGGUUUAAGUCCCCUCUUUAUGCA